This 465-nucleotide ribosomal RNA is filed under the name uncultured bacterium. RNAcentral describes it as "partial 16S ribosomal RNA". It matches the Rfam family "Bacterial small subunit ribosomal RNA", at positions 28 to 507 of the family's 1533-position model. The record is from RNAcentral.
GACGAACGCUGGCGGCGUGCUUAGCACAUGCAAGUCGAACGGAAAGGCCCCUUUGGGGGUACUCGAGUGGCGAACGGGUGAGUAACACGUGAGUAACCUGCCCUUGACUUCGGGAUAACUUCAGGAAACUGGGGCUAAUACCGGAUAGGAAUCCUUGCUGCAUGGUGGGGGUUGGAAAGCUUCGGCGGUUUUGGAUGGACUCGCGGCUUAUCAGCUUGUUGGUGGGGUAGUGGCUUACCAAGGCUUUGACGGGUAGCCGGCCUGAGAGGGCGACCGGCCACAUUGGGACUGAGAUACGGCCCAGACUCCUACGGGAGGCAGCAGUGGGGAAUAUUGCACAAUGGGCGGAAGCCUGAUGCAGCAACGCCGCGUGCGGGAUGACGGCCUUCGGGUUGUAAACCGCUUUCAGCAGGGGCGAAGCUUGUGGUGACGGUACCUGCAGAAGAAGCACCGGCUAACUACGUG